GGAUUACCUCAGUAACGGCGAGUGAAGCGGUAACAGCUCAAAUUUGAAAUCUGGCCCUUUCAGGGUCCGAGUUGUAAUUUGUAGAAGAUGCUUUGGGUGUGGCACCGGUCUAAGUUCCUUGGAACAGGACGUCAUAGAGGGUGAGAAUCCCGUAUGUGACUGGCUGCCUUCGCCCGUGUAAAGCUCUUUCGACGAGUCGAGUUGUUUGGGAAUGCAGCUCAAAAUGGGUGGUAAAUUUCAUCUAAAGCUAAAUAUUGGCCAGAGACCGAUAGCGCACAAGUAGAGUGAUCGAAAGAUGAAAAGCACUUUGGAAAGAGAGUUAAACAGUACGUGAAAUUGUUGAAAGGGAAGCGCUUGCAACCAGACUCGCGCGCCGUUGAUCAUCCGGUGUUCUCACCGGUGCACUCGGCGGCGCUCGGGCCAGCAUCAGUUUGGGUGGUGGGAUAAAGGCCUUGGGAAUGUGGCUCUCUUCGGGGAGUGUUAUAGCCCUCGGUGCAAUGCCGCCUACCUGGACUGAGGACCGCGCUUCGGCUAGGAUGCUGGCGUAAU
Molecule: ribosomal RNA, 549 nt
Filed under: Trichopezizella otanii
Lineage: Eukaryota; Fungi; Ascomycota; Leotiomycetes; Helotiales; Tricladiaceae
Description: eukaryotic LSU rRNA
Rfam family: Eukaryotic large subunit ribosomal RNA
Source: RNAcentral